RNAcentral lists this ribosomal RNA (403 nucleotides) under uncultured bacterium. RNAcentral describes it as "partial 16S ribosomal RNA". It matches the Rfam family "Bacterial small subunit ribosomal RNA", at positions 28 to 526 of the family's 1533-position model. The record is from RNAcentral.
GACGAACGCUGGCGGCGUGCCUAAUACAUGCAAGUCGAACGCAGUGGGGACGGGUGAGUAAAACGUGGGUAACCUCCCAUCAGAGGGGAUAAACGUUGGAAACAGGUGCUAAACCGAUACUGAUGGAUGGAGCCGCGGUGCAUUAGCCUGUUGGUGAGGUAACGGCUCACCAAGGCCACGAUGCAUAGCCGACCUGAGAGUGUGAUCGGCCACACUGGGACUGAGACACGGCCCAGACUCCUACGGGAGGCAGCAGUAGGGAAUAUUCGGCAAUGGGCGAAAGUCUGACCGAGCAACGCCGCGUGAGUGAAGAAGGUUUUCGGAUCGUAAAGCUCUGUUGGUAGAGAAGCGUUAUCUAACCAGAAAGCCACGGCUAACUACGUGCCAGCAGCCGCGGUAAUAC